UGAGGAAUAUUGGACAAUGGGCGCAAGCCUGAUCCAGCAAUGCCGCGUGCAGGAUGAAGGCCUUCGGGUUGUAAACUGCUUUUGUACGGAGCGAAAAGGUCUGCCCUAAUACGGUGGGCUCAUGACGGUACCGUAAGAAUAAGCACCGGCUAACUACGUGCCAGCAGCCGCGGUAAUACGUAGGGUGCGAGCGUUAAUCGGAAUUACUGGGCGUAAAGCGUGCGCAGGCGGUUAUAUAAGACAGAUGUGAAAUCCCCGGGCUCAACCUGGGACCUGCAUUUGUGACUGUAUAGCUAGAGUACGGUAGAGGGGGAUGGAAUUCCGCGUAUAGCAGUGAAAUGCGUAGAUAUGCGGAGGAACACCGAUGGCGUAGGCAAUCCCCUGGACCUGUACUGACGCUCAUGCACGAAAGCGUGGGGAGCAAACA
RNAcentral lists this ribosomal RNA (427 nucleotides) under uncultured bacterium. RNAcentral describes it as "bacterial SSU rRNA". It matches the Rfam family "Bacterial small subunit ribosomal RNA", at positions 355 to 774 of the family's 1533-position model. The record is from RNAcentral.